UCGGCGGCGCCUUCUUCUCCCCUGCGCGCGCACACACACGCACGGUCGCAUCAUCAGCAAUAACAAAGACAAGGGAGCUACUUUUGCUCUCCCCCUAAUUCCGCCGGAGGCACGGAGACCGCCGCGGCUGCCGUUGCAGCUCGCGCUGGCGCAUGCCCUCUCAAGGAUCAACGCGUCACGAAGAAAGGAAGAAGCAUACUGCUACUCAAGAACCGCCAGACGGGAGCUCGUGGGGGGGAACACGGAGGAGCAUAAAUGCAGAAUAAUCAUGCACUUCUCCGCGCCAGUGGCCGGCGACGACCGCGACGGCGAGGUCAGCGGCGUCUUUUUUUCUCUCUCCUUUGUGAACAGAAGAAAAAACCCACCGCAAAUCUCCAGAAAUCACAGAAGCCGAAGAAGAACGCUUUGGGAAAGAAAAAAACCGCGGCCAGAAGUCCAGCCGGGAAAACAAAAGGGGCUUUCCGAUCCCACCCACCACGAAGAAUAGCUCGAUAUAAAGCCAAGAUGACACUAUUCCAUUCCCGCCAGGCUGCCAUCAACAAGCGCUGCAUACCUUCACAUGCGCUGGGCGGCGGC
RNAcentral lists this unclassified non-coding RNA (576 nucleotides) under Zea mays. RNAcentral describes it as "misc RNA Zm00001eb227110". Lineage: Eukaryota; Viridiplantae; Streptophyta; Magnoliopsida; Poales; Poaceae. The record is from RNAcentral.